GGUGAAAUGAGGUGAAACACUUUCUCUCAUUUUCUCUAAAGAGGCCGGCCACUUAGAGGGGAAUUAGCUAGCAAUAUUUUCUUCUCUAAGUCAUCCAUUUCAUCUUCACACUUCAUCUUUGGUGUGGAGACUUAGAGACAUCAAGCUUUUGAUGUUUUUGGAGAACUAAUCCUCAAAUCCUCAAAGAAGCAAAGGAGCACUAAAAGGAGGAAAAUCACAAGGAAGAUCCAAGGAGCAAGGAGGUGACUUGAAGGCCCUCCACUUGGGUGAAUCCCUUGUGUAAAUAAGGAUGAGCUUCAAGGGUAAAGAAACUCUAAAUCUUUCCUUCUCUUUAAUGUUGUUAAAGAGUUUAUUGGUUCACCAUAUACUAGGCUUUGAAAGUCAUGGGUUUUAUGAAUUGUUUUGAAUGCAUGCCUACUUUAAAGUGUUAAUAGUUUGCAUAUGUAUUCAAAUGUUCUUACAUGUUCUUAGCUAGGACAAAUUUUUUCCUUCAAGUGGUAUCAGAGCCUAGGCCUAGUUUAUGGUGAAUCCUUUUGGGUUUUGUGAUUUUCAUGAUUUGUGAUUUAAAUGUUGUAAAUGUUACAAGCUUUGUUCUUGCUUUGAAUAUAAAUUUUGCUAGAAAAUUUAGCAUCUCAAAUGUUGUAGAUGUAUUUCAUUUAAGCAUGAAUAUUGGAACUAAAAUUUGGUGCCAUGAAUGUUUGGAAAUUCGGCCAAAUCCAAAGGGUGAUUUUUUGGGUUCAUGUUUGUCUUGUUAAAAUGGUUUUAAGGUGACUUUUGGAACCCCUAAGUACCCUAGGAUGUUAGCCCUCUUUUGAGUAGUGAAAAUUUGAGUUUUAAUGAGUGAAAACAUUCAUGGAGCUCUUAUGAGUUUUCAUGUGUGUUCUUCAAUGUUCUUGAGUUUCUAACCAAGAACAAAAAGGUUUGGAUUUUUGAUUCAAAGUGUUUGGUGUUUUAAAUAAAGUUUUGGUUUAUUUAUGAUGGGUGAUGGUUAUAGGUGAAGGAUGAUUAAUGCUAUUAAUGUUUCACAAAAACAUUUCUCUUACAACCCAUCCCAUUCACCUUUAACCUCACCCACCAAUUCCACUUGCAUAUUGCACAUGCAUGCACCACUUGCAUAAAAUCCCUUUCACACUCUUCCACACUCCAAAAACCGGCCACCCCCUAGUGGGGGUACUUUUGGGGCCUAUUAUACAAUUACAUAAAGUUUUGAUACUUUUGUGUAUUUGCACUUUGGCCCAAAAGUUUACGUUUUUACUUUAAGGCCCAAAAACUCUAAAGGACGAAUUGUUUUGAUCCUUUAAUGAUGUUUUUACAUUAUUAAAAUUUUGGGUUCUAGUUGAAAUUACAUGAAGUUGUGGACUUUUGUGUUUUUCAAAGUGACCCCAAAAGUUUGUGUUUUGCAUUGUGGCCCAAUUGUUGUGGUCAUAGUUUCCUUUUGGCCCAAAUAAAAUGAGAACAAAAUUGUUUUGUCUCUUUAAUGAGAAUUGGAUUUUCAUUUCAUUUAGUUCCAUUUAAAUCAAUUCUAUGGAUCCAAAAACCAAUUGUUUAAGUUGCUUUCUUAGUUAAUGUGAUUGAUUAAGAAAAGGGUGAUUAUGAACCAAAGGCCUCGAUAAUUGAGCUGUGUGAUUGGCCGCUUUACAUUAUGAAUGUUUGGGUUUGGUAGUGUAGAUUUGAAUGUAAUUUGAUUAAUUCAAUUUGUUGUAAAUGGACAUAAGUCCAUCAUUUAUGUUGUAAAAGGGCAUAAGCCCUUCUUAUUAUUUCAUGUAUUCCUAUUUGUUUAAUUGUAUGCAAAAUGGAAUAGUUGGGUCCAACGCCCAAUAGGGAAUAACGGUUUAAUUGGAUUAAACGCGUAACUAAAAUCAACAACUAUCUACCUUAAACCCAAGGUCCAACACAAGGCUCGUGUUGGAUCAAAUUAAACGGUUCAUAAUCAUCCUAAAACCUAAUAUGACUAUAUAGUCCAUAUGAGGAUGCAAUGCAUUCGUUAGUAGUUCCAUAUAGUCUCGCUUGUUUCUUCGAAAUAGUGGGAGUAUUAUAAACUACUAAUUCAUAUUAACUUGGACCAAUGGUUAUGAUAGGCCCAAGUUCUUUUAAUAAGAUUAAAAUGAUUUUGAUGUACUCCAAAACUACUCCCUCAACAAACGAAUAUUAAGUUGAUAAGCGAGAGAUAUUUUGAACAUCUCUUCGUAGGCCUUCCACCGUGGUGGGCUCCAAUCGUU
This 2219-nucleotide long non-coding RNA is filed under the name Malus domestica (apple). RNAcentral describes it as "long non-coding RNA (MDOM_LNC016261)". Lineage: Eukaryota; Viridiplantae; Streptophyta; Magnoliopsida; Rosales; Rosaceae. The record is from RNAcentral.